This 460-nucleotide ribosomal RNA is filed under the name uncultured bacterium. RNAcentral's name for it is "partial 16S ribosomal RNA". It matches the Rfam family "Bacterial small subunit ribosomal RNA", at positions 338 to 795 of the family's 1533-position model. The record is from RNAcentral.
CCUACGGGAGGCAGCAGUGAGGAAUAUUGGUCAAUGGGCGUAAGCCUGAACCAGCCAAGUCGCGUGAGGGAUGAAGGUUCUAUGGAUCGUAAACCUCUUUUAUAAGGGAAUAAAGUGUGGGACGUGUCCUGUUUUGUAUGUACCUUAUGAAUAAGGAUCGGCUAACUCCGUGCCAGCAGCCGCGGUAAUACGGAGGAUCCGAGCGUUAUCCGGAUUUAUUGGGUUUAAAGGGUGCGUAGGCGGCCUUUUAAGUCAGCGGUGAAAGUUUGUGGCUCAACCAUAGAAUGGCCGUUGAAACUGGGAGGCUUGAGUAUGUUUGAGGCAGGCGGAAUGCGUGGUGUAGCGGUGAAAUGCUUAGAUAUCACGCAGAACCCCGAUUGCGAAGGCAGCCUGCCAAGCCAUGACUGACGCUGAUGCACGAAAGCGUGGGGAUCAAACAGGAUUAGAUACCCCAGUAGUC